Molecule: ribosomal RNA, 295 nt
Filed under: uncultured bacterium
Lineage: Bacteria
Description: partial 16S ribosomal RNA
Rfam family: Bacterial small subunit ribosomal RNA
Source: RNAcentral
ACCUACGGGACGCAGCAGUGGGGAAUAUUGCACAAUGGGGGAAACCCUGAUGCAGCAACGCCGCGUGAGUGAUGACGGCCUUCGGGUUGUAAAGCUCUGUCUUCAGGGACGAUAAUGACGGUACCUGAGGAGGAAGCCACGGCUAACUACGUGCCAGCAGCCGCGGUAAUACGUAGGUGGCGAGCGUUGUCCGGAUUUACUGGGUGUAAAGGGAGCGCAGGCGGCACGGCAAGCCUGAUGUGAAAGCCCGCGGCCCAACCGCGGGACUGCAUUGGGAACUCCCGGGCUGGAGUGC